Molecule: microRNA precursor, 206 nt
Organism: Medicago truncatula (barrel medic)
Lineage: Eukaryota; Viridiplantae; Streptophyta; Magnoliopsida; Fabales; Fabaceae
Rfam family: MIR2619 microRNA precursor family
Source: Rfam
AAACAGUCCCCUAUGUAUUGGAUCUUUGACAGUUUUGGCCUCCAAGGCCACUUUUGACUAAGUCUUCGCUGACGUGGCAUCCACAAUGGUCGACGUGUGGCACCUCACUUAAGGGAUAUGGGUGCCACCUCAGCGAAGACUAAGUCAAAAGUGACUUUGGGGGAAAAAACUGCCAAAUUAAAGAUCCAAUACAUAUGUGACUGUUU